GGCAGCCGUUCCCCAAGCUCCUGGAGCGCCCCUUUUCCCCAAUAGCCAAGCCGUCCGCCAUCGAUCAACGUGGUCAAAUCCUCCCAGUAGCCCUCCCCCUCGUUUCUUCUACGUGUGCGGAGACCCCCUGGACCCCGCAGAGCUACCAUCGCCCUCCAUUCCUCCAAGGAGGCCCUGCCAGCGCCGCUCGCCAGGAGACCUCCGUCCACCUCGGCCCCCUUAGUGGCUACGACACUGUAGGUCGCCGGAGUCGCUCCCUUGGCUACCAUCAGUCGUGGAGAGGAGCUGCGGUGCCGCCACGCACGUUGGCGGCCCUUUGGAGUAGUAAGGUGACAGGUGCGCCGGUGCCCGAGCCCCUUUGACCCCAGCGAGCGGAAGAAGACAAUCGAAGGAGAGAGAAGUGAGAAGGCCCGCGCGCCAGCCGCAGGUCCGCUUACCGGACUGGCCCGUUGCCGUAAGUGAAGGCAUUUUUGCACGAGCGCGUAUUUCCGUGGUCAAGGCUUUUUCUUGCUUCAGCCUCGAACGCGAGUGUGUUUUCUCUAACUUAAAGUGUAUUUCAAGAAAGGCGUUUUCAACCCAGGUCCGUUGGCCGAAGUGGUUAAAUAGUGGGUGUUCACCCGUUAGCAACAAAAAAACACAAUUUUUUAUUUGUUUUUCUCCUAACAAACAAACCACCAUAUCUUUUUAAUAGUAACUCCGAUUGAGGUAAUUCCAAAGCCCACAUUUUCGUCUCAUCAAGUUCGUUCCUUUGGUACUAUUUUCACUAUAUUGUCACAUACUAAAAAUGACAAUUUUUCCCUUGCCCUUGUUAAGCCCCCUUUGCGAGAGAUAAUUUUCUUGCGAAUCGUUCCGCGAGUUCCUUGCACUUCCUUCCGGUGAAUCCUUUAUCCCCGGGCAAGCCACGGCAUCCACUUGUAUUGUGAUCUUGUAGUAACCAUUGUUUUCUACUUCAAUAUUUAACAACUGUUUGCUCUACUAGU
This 980-nucleotide small RNA is filed under the name Hordeum vulgare subsp. vulgare (domesticated barley). Lineage: Eukaryota; Viridiplantae; Streptophyta; Magnoliopsida; Poales; Poaceae. The record is from RNAcentral.